GGCAUUUGAAAACUUUAGAAAGGCAGGGCAGGAUGGAUAUAGGUCUGUAACAGUUUGGGUCUAGAGGCAGGGCAGGAUGGAUAUAGGUCUGUAACAGUUUGGGUCUAGAGGCAGGGCAGGAUGGAUAUAGGUCUGUAACAGUUUGGGUCUAGAGGCAGGGCAGGAUGGAUAUAGGUCUGUAACAGUUUGGGUCUAGAGGCAGGGCAGGAUGGAUAUAGGUCUGUAACAGUUUGGGUCUAGAGGCAGGGCAGGGUGGAUAUAGGUCUGUAGCAGUUUGGGUCUAGAGGCAGGGCAGGAUGGAUAUAGGUCUGUAACAGUUUGGGUCUAGAGGCAGGGCAGGAUGGAUAUAGGUCUGUAACAGUUUGGGUCUAGAGGCAGGGCAGGAUGGAUAUAGGUCUGUAACAGUUUGGGUCUAGAGGCAGGGCAGGAUGGAUAUAGGUCUGUAGCAGUUUGGGUCUAGAGUGUCUCCCCCUUUGAAGAUGGGGAUGACCGUGG
Molecule: long non-coding RNA, 495 nt
Organism: Oncorhynchus tshawytscha (Chinook salmon)
Lineage: Eukaryota; Metazoa; Chordata; Actinopteri; Salmoniformes; Salmonidae
Source: Ensembl